GAUGAACGCUGGCGGCGUGCUUAACACAUGCAAGUCGAACGAUGAAGCCCAGCUUGCUGGGCGGAUUAGUGGCGAACGGGUGAGUAACACGUGAGUAACCUGCCCUUGACUCUGGGAUAAGCCCGGGAAACUGGGUCUAAUACCGGAUAGGAGCGCCUGUCGCAUGACGGGUGCUGGAAAGAUCUUUCGGUCAUGGAUGGACUCGCGGCCUAUCAGCUUGUUGGUGAGGUAACGGCUCACCAAGGCGACGACGGGUAGCCGGCCUGAGAGGGUGACCGGCCACACUGGGACUGAGACACGGCCCAGACCCCUACGGGAGGCAGCAGUGGGGAAUAUUGCACAAUAGGCGAAAGCCUGAUGCAGCGACGCCGCGUGAGGGAUGACGGCCUUCGGGUUGUAAACCUCUUUCAGCAGGGAAGAAGCGAAAGUGACGGUACCUGCAGAAGAAGCACCGGCUAACUACGUG
This 466-nucleotide ribosomal RNA is filed under the name uncultured bacterium. Its description in RNAcentral is "partial 16S ribosomal RNA". It matches the Rfam family "Bacterial small subunit ribosomal RNA", at positions 28 to 507 of the family's 1533-position model. The record is from RNAcentral.